AACCCAGAAAGUAAACUUAUUAUGUAUGGUCAGUGGCUGGCCUGUGCCGAGUUUUUGAUAAUUCCAUCUCCAAUAUGCUCGCAGUGUAUUCGUCAUUCCUAAGGAAACUGGGCUGAUGGAUAUGCACAAAGAGAGACCUGGCACGCAGAGCAGAGACUGAAGGAUGGAGCCAAUGGGCAGUAGAACCCUGGCAAAACUUAUUAAAGAUGCAGAUGCAGGGGAGACAGAGCCUAGAAGAGAUGCCAACAGAAAGGUGAUGGGGCCAUCUCUUUAAAGGCAACUUUGGCCAUUCUGGACCAUCACUCAUUUCAAGACUAUUCUAGGCCUUGGAUGAAGAAGAAGGAGGGAGCAGAGUGAGGGCCUAAGAGUAAUUCGGGAUCUUCUUCAUCUGCACCACUUGGCCACGAAUGAGAAGACCACAACACCUGACUAAUGUAUCACCAUGACUCUUCCCAAUGUACAACCCUGGGCACUGGUUUCCCCAUUUGAUGUAAAAUGAAGGUUUUGGAUUAGAAGACUUUGA
Vombatus ursinus (common wombat) is the source of this 523-nucleotide long non-coding RNA. RefSeq lists it as uncharacterized. The record is from RefSeq and is a predicted model, not a curated record. The transcript has 3 exons. NCBI's taxonomy places the organism in Eukaryota, Metazoa, Chordata, Mammalia, Diprotodontia, Vombatidae.